CAGUCGCCACGGGAAUACAGAGGGUGCAAGCGUUAAUCGGAAUUACUGGGCGUAAAGCGCGCGUAGGUGGUUUGUUAAGUUGAAUGUGAAAUCCCCGGGCUCAACCUGGGAACUGCAUCCAAAACUGGCAAGCUAGAGUAGGGCAGAGGGUGGUGGAAUUUCCUGUGUAGCGGUGAAAUGCGUAGAUAUAGGAAGGAACACCAGUGGCGAAGGCGACCACCUGGGCUCAUACUGACACUGAGGUGCGAAAGCGUGGGGAGCAAACAGGAUUAGAUACCCCCGUAGUCCCUGUCUCUUAUAU
Molecule: ribosomal RNA, 301 nt
Filed under: uncultured bacterium
Lineage: Bacteria
Description: partial 16S ribosomal RNA
Rfam family: Bacterial small subunit ribosomal RNA
Source: RNAcentral